This 429-nucleotide ribosomal RNA is filed under the name Fusobacteriota bacterium. Its description in RNAcentral is "Fusobacteria bacterium partial 16S ribosomal RNA". It matches the Rfam family "Bacterial small subunit ribosomal RNA", at positions 355 to 776 of the family's 1533-position model. Lineage: Bacteria; Fusobacteriati; Fusobacteriota. The record is from RNAcentral.
UGGGGAAUCUUCCGCAAUGGACGAAAGUCUGACGGAGCAACGCCGCGUGAGUGAAGACGGCCUUCGGGUUGUAAAGCUCUGUGAUCCGGGACGAAAGAGCCUGAGGUGAAUAGCCUAAGGAAGUGACGGUACCGGAAAAGCAUGCCACGGCUAACUACGUGCCAGCAGCCGCGGUAAUACGUAGGUGGCAAGCGUUGUCCGGAAUUAUUGGGCGUAAAGCGCGCGCAGGCGGCUUCCUAAGUCCAUCUUAAAAGUGCGGGGCUUAACCCCGUGAUGGGAUGGAAACUGGGAAGCUGGAGUAUCGGAGAGGAAAGUGGAAUUCCUAGUGUAGCGGUGAAAUGCGUAGAGAUUAGGAAGAACACCGGUGGCGAAGGCGACUUUCUGGACGAAAACUGACGCUGAGGCGCGAAAGCGUGGGGAGCAAACAGG